UACGUAGGGGGCUAGCGUUGUCCGGAAUCGUUGGGCGUAAAGCGCGUGUAGGCGGUCCGGUAAGUCCGCUGUGAAAGUCAGGGGCUCAACCCUUGAAAGCCGGCCGAUACUGUCGGACUAGAGUCCGGAAGAGGCAAGUGGAAUUCCCGGUGUAGCGGUGAAAUGCGCAGAUAUCGGGAGGAACACCAAUGGCGAAGGCAGCUUGCUGGGACGGUACUGACGCUGAGGCGCGAAAGCGUGGGGAGCAAACAGG
This 253-nucleotide ribosomal RNA is filed under the name uncultured bacterium. RNAcentral's name for it is "partial 16S ribosomal RNA". It matches the Rfam family "Bacterial small subunit ribosomal RNA", at positions 524 to 776 of the family's 1533-position model. The record is from RNAcentral.